UGGAAGAAUAUGCGGCAUGGAGAGUCUGACGGAGCACGCCGCGUGAGUGAUGAAGGCUUUCGGGUCGUAAAACUCUGUUGUUAGGGAAGAACAAGUGCUAGUUGAAUAAGCUGGCACCUUGACGGUACCUAACCAGAAAGCCACGGCUAACUACGUGCCAGCAGCCGCGGUAAUACGUAGGUGGCAAGCGUUAUCCGGAAUUAUUGGGCGUAAAGCGCGCGCAGGUGGUUUCUUAAGUCUGAUGUGAAAGCCCACGGCUCAACCGUGGAGGGUCAUUGGAAACUGGGAGACUUGAGUGCAGAAGAGGAAAGUGGAAUUCCAUGUGUAGCGGUGAAAUGCGUAGAGAUAUGGAGGAACACCAGUGGCGAAGGCGACUUUCUGGUCUGUAACUGACACUGAGGCGCGAAAGCGUGGGGAGCAAACAGGAUUAGAUACCCCGGUAGUCA
This 446-nucleotide ribosomal RNA is filed under the name Bacillus sp. (in: firmicutes). Its description in RNAcentral is "bacterial SSU rRNA". It matches the Rfam family "Bacterial small subunit ribosomal RNA", at positions 354 to 796 of the family's 1533-position model. The record is from RNAcentral. Lineage: Bacteria; Bacillati; Bacillota; Bacilli; Caryophanales; Bacillaceae.